AAGUCGUAACAAGGUUUCCGUAGGUGAACCUGCGGAAGGAUCAUUAUCGUAUCUCCGAGGAGGCGAUCGGUCGUGACCUGCUCCGGCACCCUCGCGGGUCCGUGCAGCGGCCGCCGUCGCCGACUCAAAACCCACAAACCCCCACUGUGCUCCUUUCACGGCUGGCGGCGCUUGCGCCCGAGGCCGCAUUACAAAACAAACCCCAGUUCAAAAGAAUGUCCAAGCGAACUCCGAUUCGCCUACAAUUUGAAACAACUUUCAACAACGGAUCUCUUGGCUCUC
RNAcentral lists this unclassified non-coding RNA (282 nucleotides) under air metagenome. Its description in RNAcentral is "partial contains small subunit ribosomal RNA, internal transcribed spacer 1, and 5.8S ribosomal RNA". The stretch from base 1 to 46 matches the Rfam family "Eukaryotic small subunit ribosomal RNA", at positions 1786 to 1831 of the family's 1831-position model. The record is from RNAcentral.